This 460-nucleotide ribosomal RNA is filed under the name uncultured bacterium. RNAcentral's name for it is "partial 16S ribosomal RNA". It matches the Rfam family "Bacterial small subunit ribosomal RNA", at positions 338 to 795 of the family's 1533-position model. The record is from RNAcentral.
CCUACGGGAGGCAGCAGUGAGGAAUAUUGGUCAAUGGGCGGAAGCCUGAACCAGCCAAGUCGCGUGCGGGAAUAAGGCCCUACGGGUCGUAAACCUCUUUUGCCGAGGAGCAAGGGCGGGGACGUGUCCCGGCCCGGAGAGUACCCGGAGAAAAAGCAUCGGCUAACUCCGUGCCAGCAGCCGCGGUAAUACGGGGGAUGCGAGCGUUAUCCGGAUUUAUUGGGUUUAAAGGGUGCGUAGGCGGGCUUUUAAGUCUGCGUUAAAAAUUCGGGGCUCAACCGCGUCCGGCCGUUGAAACUGGUGGCCUAGAGUGGGCGAGAAGAAGGCGGAAUGCGUGGUGUAGCGGUGAAAUGCAUAGAGAUCACGCAGAACCCCGAUUGCGAAGGCAGCCUUCCGGCGCCCUACUGACGCUGAGGCACGAAAGUGCGGGGAGCGAACAGGAUUAGAUACCCGGGUAGUC